GAAAUGCGAUAAGUAGUGUGAAUUGCAGAAUUCAGUGAAUCAUCGAAUCUUUGAACGCACAUUGCGCCCUUUGGUAUUCCAAAGGGCAUGCCUGUUCGAGCGUCAUUUGUACCCUCAAGCUUUGCUUGGUGUUGGGCGUCUUGUCUCUAGCUUUGCUGGAGACUCGCCUUAAAGUAAUUGGCAGCCGGCCUACUGGUUUCGGAGCGCAGCACAAGUCACACUCUCUAUCAGCAAAGGUCUAGCAUCCAUUAAGCCUUUUUUUCAACUUUUGACCUCGGAUCAGGUAGGGAUACCCGCUGAACUUAAGC
Molecule: unclassified non-coding RNA, 308 nt
Filed under: plant metagenome
Description: partial contains 5.8S ribosomal RNA, internal transcribed spacer 2, and large subunit ribosomal RNA
Rfam family: 5.8S ribosomal RNA (bases 1-105)
Source: RNAcentral